Molecule: ribosomal RNA, 497 nt
Filed under: uncultured bacterium
Lineage: Bacteria
Description: partial 16S ribosomal RNA
Rfam family: Bacterial small subunit ribosomal RNA
Source: RNAcentral
GAUGAACGCUGGCGGCGUGCCUAAUACAUGCAAGUCGAGCGAACAGACGAGGAGCUUGCUCCUCUGACGUUAGCGGCGGACGGGUGAGUAACACGUGGAUAACCUACCUAUAAGACUGGGAUAACUUCGGGAAACCGGAGCUAAUACCGUAUAAUAUAUUGAACCGCAUGGUUCAAUAGUGAAAGACGGUUUUGCUGUCACUUAUAGAUGGAUCCGCGCCGCAUUAGCUAGUUGGUAAGGUAACGGCUUACCAAGGCAACGAUGCGUAGCCGACCUGAGAGGGUGAUCGGACACACUGGAACUGAGACACGGUCCAGACUCCUCCGGGAGGCAGCAGUAGGGAAUCUUACGCAAUGGGCGAAAGCCUGACGGAGCAACGCCGCGUGAGUGAUAAAGGUCUUCGGAUCGUAAAACUCUGUUAUUAGGGAAGAACAAAUGUGUAAGUAACUAUGCACGUCUUGACGGUACCUAAUCAGAAAGCAACGGCUAACUACGUG